UUCCUCUGACCAGUAUAUUUCCGUCAACGACCACCAAAAAUUUUUCCACGACCGCUAUUGAUUUGAAAUCAACUAGCAGAAUAAACCCGACAACAACGAUUGGCUUCAAUAGUGCAACCAGCCCAAUCCAUAGGAUCAGGAAUGAAAUAAAAGAACAGUUACCCGGAAACACCUCCAGUGAGAUGCGUAAUAGGACGUUAGCUUUUCCACACCACAGCGGACGGUGACAGAAAGUUUGAGUCGAAGAGGUUUUUGGAAAAAAUCGUGGAUACCUCUUACACUUGCUAUUUUGCUUGUAAUUGUAGUCGUAGCUUUAGGAGUUAUACGAAAGUUGUUCGUUUGUAAACGUGGAAAAGACAAACAGAUAAAUGAACCAGAGCAAAAUAUCUCGAUGAUUUCAAGCAGUGAUGGAAAUCAAGUUACUUUGCCAGAAACAACCACAUCUGAUGUCAUGGACAUACAUGAAAAUCUGAGAAAUAAAUUCUUUGAAGGAUCACUUUGAAGUUAACUGGAUCUCAAGACUCGUAAAUAUCAUAAACAAUUAUUUAAGUUUCAAUGAGAAGUUUAUUAAGACAUAGAUACCAUUUGUGUAUUUGAAUUUUUUCAUUUUUUGUCGGACAAGAACAACCAAUUAAGUAAUACAGCAUUUGUACAUCACGA
This is a long non-coding RNA of Xenia sp. Carnegie-2017, 660 nucleotides long. RefSeq lists it as uncharacterized. The record is from RefSeq and is a predicted model, not a curated record. The transcript is spliced from 2 exons. Lineage: Eukaryota; Metazoa; Cnidaria; Anthozoa; Malacalcyonacea; Xeniidae.